RNAcentral lists this long non-coding RNA (332 nucleotides) under Sorghum bicolor (sorghum). Its description in RNAcentral is "long non-coding RNA (SBIC_LNC006210)". The record is from RNAcentral. Lineage: Eukaryota; Viridiplantae; Streptophyta; Magnoliopsida; Poales; Poaceae.
ACGCACACCAAGAUCCACCGCAAGCGCACGGAUCAUUGUAGCUCUUCUCUUAGAGUAUUCCCCCAAGGUUUAUCAAUCCGUGGAAACGAGGUCACAAACCCUAGAUUAACUAUGCAUCGGAAAACAUUGUUCUAGUUGCAAGAUGAUUGUGAACAUGAUCAAGAAUAAACACUUAUCUAGAAGUAAAUUAUCUAGGAUAAAGCCUAGCCUAUGCAUAUGUUGUAGUUCUAGCUAAAUCAGUAAGCAAAACAUGAUUCUCAUUCAAUGCAUCUUUAAAUCUCUACCCUCCGGUCCAACUCUCGAGGAUCACCACCUUACAAGGGCCACACCCU